Molecule: long non-coding RNA, 654 nt
Filed under: Olea europaea subsp. europaea
Lineage: Eukaryota; Viridiplantae; Streptophyta; Magnoliopsida; Lamiales; Oleaceae
Source: RNAcentral
AUCAGAUUCAAAGUUUUAUAUUUCAAUAAUCAGAAAUAUUAUUUUAAUCAAUAUUUUACUAAUAUACUUCAUUAUCUACACAUUACAAACCCUAAUCAUCUUUAUAAACACUACAUUCUCUCUCUAUCCAGGACUCUGUCGUCUCUCUCUCUACAUCAACGCUUCUGCCGGCUACAAACUCCGGCGAUGGACCAAUCCAGCCUCGUCACGAUGUGAAGAUGUGGUUGGUGCAGGUCCCUCGCUCGACGGCUGAAGCAAUGUGAAGAGGUGGUUUGCAACCGCCUCGAUUCGUUGCGAUGUGAAGCAGUGGAGGUGCUACGGGGUUGAUUGCGUGGCGGUUGUGAAUUUUGAAGGGCGGCGAUGUGAAGCACUGGUUUGCAACCGCUUCGAUUCUGUGGAGUGGGACAAUACAAUGGUUUCGUUGGGGGUGGUGGCGGUAUAGUGUGGAUUGUGGUGGUAAUAGGGUAUUGUCGUACUAGGCUGUUGUAGAUGUGGUGGUGAUGUGGUGGUUGAGUGAGUGGGUGAUGAGCGGUGGUGGUGGAGGCGUGCGGUUCUGUGGUGGGGACGGAGGUGCUGUAGAUUUGUGGCGGAUUUGUGGGAACGGUUCUGUAGGAACGAUUUUGUGGUGGAUUUAUGGUUGUGUGGUCAUUUGUG